This is a non-coding RNA of Caenorhabditis brenneri, 71 nucleotides long. NCBI's taxonomy places the organism in Eukaryota, Metazoa, Nematoda, Chromadorea, Rhabditida, Rhabditidae. The record is from Rfam.
UCCUUUGAUGUCUAGCGGUUGGGAAUAAGGCUCUCACCCAUAAGGCCGGGGUUCGAUUCCCCGCAACGGAA